UGAAAUUUCACAUGUGAAUUUGGAACAUGUGAUUUUUCACAUGUGAAAUUUCACAUGUGAAAUUAUGUUCACAUGUUCCAAAUUCACAUGUGAAACUUCA
Molecule: microRNA precursor, 100 nt
Filed under: Paramuricea clavata
Lineage: Eukaryota; Metazoa; Cnidaria; Anthozoa; Malacalcyonacea; Plexauridae
Source: RNAcentral